AGUGAACGCUGGCGGUAGGCCUAACACAUGCAAGUCGAACGGCAGCACAGUGAGAGCUUGCUCUUACGGGUGGCGAGUGGCGGACGGGUGAGGAAUACAUCGGAAUCUACUUUUUCGUGGGGGAUAACGUAGGGAAACUUACGCUAAUACCGCAUACGACCUACGGGUGAAAGCAGGGGAUCUUCGGACCUUGCGCGAUUGAAUGAGCCGAUGUCGGAUUAGCUAGUUGGCGGGGUAAAGGCCCACCAAGGCGACGAUCCGUAGCUGGUCUGAGAGGAUGAUCAGCCACACUGGAACUGAGACACGGCCCAGACUCCUACGGGAGGCAGCAGUGGGGAAUAUUGGACAAUGGGCGCAAGCCUGAUCCAGCCAUACCGCGUGGGUGAAGAAGGCCUUCGGGUUGUAAAGCCCUUUUGUUGGGAAAGAAAAGCAGCAGGUUAAUACCCCGCUGUUCUGACGGUACCCAAAGAAUAAGCACCGGCUAACUUCGUG
RNAcentral lists this ribosomal RNA (492 nucleotides) under uncultured bacterium. Its description in RNAcentral is "partial 16S ribosomal RNA". It matches the Rfam family "Bacterial small subunit ribosomal RNA", at positions 29 to 507 of the family's 1533-position model. The record is from RNAcentral.